Molecule: RNA transcript, 2747 nt
Organism: Crotalus tigris (Tiger rattlesnake)
Lineage: Eukaryota; Metazoa; Chordata; Lepidosauria; Squamata; Viperidae
Gene: PAFAH2
Gene name: platelet activating factor acetylhydrolase 2
Exons: 12
Source: RefSeq, a predicted model, not a curated record
AGCCAAUGGCCGGGAAGAGCCGAGGGGAGGAAGCGAAACCGCGCUGCCCUUUUCUCUUCUUCCAGCCCCGGAGAUCGUCUGAAAGCUGCCGUUUCGGGCCGCCUCGGAAUUCCCGCGGGAGACGAAGCUUCAAGGAUGGGGGUCACCCAGUCCCUCGGCUUGCCCCACGGGAGGGGCGCUUAUCCGGUCGGCUGCACCGACGUGAUGGUGGGCCAGACCCCCAAGGGCCUCUUCUUCCGCCUCUUCUAUCCCUGCGUCCCUCAGGGUGAGGCCGAGGAGCCAUCCUGGAUUCCCCGCUAUGAAUAUUACUCCGGAAUAGCUGACUACCUGUGCUUAAAUAGGAAAUGGUUUGCUCCACUUCUCAGUGUCACAUUUGGAUCGUGUAAGAUCCCUGUAAGCUGGGAUGCGCCUUUCCGACCCAGUUCCCACAAGUAUCCCUUGAUCAUAUUCUCCCAUGGACUAGGAGCCUUUCGAACCGUGUACUCAGCCAUCUGCAUUGAGAUGGCUUCUCGGGGCUUUUUGGUGAUGGCGCUUGAACACAGAGACCGAUCAGCUUCUGCUACGUAUUUUUGCAAACCGGAUCCGGAAGCACCAGGUCUGCCUGAGGCUCAGAUGAAUGAAGAAUGGCUCACUUACCGUAGGGUACCCAGAGAGCAGAAGGAAUUUCAUUUUCGGAACCCACAGCUCCACCAAAGAGCAAACGAGUGCAAACGGGGACUCAAGCUGAUGCAAAGUAUCAACAGUGGCAAGGCCGUUGCAAACCUCCUUCACACAGAUUUUGACCUCUCUACACUGAAGGACAAUGUGGAUCUGACCAAAGCCGCUGUCAUGGGCCACUCUUUUGGAGGCGCGACAGCCGUGCUCUCUCUGGUCAAAGAAACCCAGUUUAAAUGCGCAGUUGCCCUUGACGCAUGGAUGUUCCCUUUGGAGAACUCUGUUUACCCGAAAGUGACCAAGCCGGUGCUGUUUAUCAACACAGAAUCAUUCCAGACUGCAGAGAGCGUGGCCAAGAUGAAAAAAAUCAGCACCACCAGCAGUGACAGCAAGAUUAUUACAAUCCUGGGUACCGUCCACCAGAGUCAGACAGAUUUCACCUUCCUUGCCGGGAACCUUGUCAACCGGGUCUACAAAACAAGGGGCACCACGGAUCCCUACGAAGGUCUGAAUAUCACCAACCAGGCUGCUCUUGCUUUCCUACAAAAGCAUCUCCAACUCAAAGAAGAUUUUGACCAAUGGGAUAAUCUUCUGGAAGGCAUAGGCAACUCGGUGGUCCCAGAUAGCCCCUUGGCAAAGUCUACCCUCUAGGCAAGAAAUAUCUCUCCCCAUAUUGUUUUGGGGCAUCGUCUAGAUUUGUUUUUGUUUUUUUCCCCCUUUGAAGGGAUGCAAAGCAUCCUUGAUAUAAAAUUGCUCUUCAGAUGUUGGACAUUUUGCAGAAUUGCUCUUCAUGAUGAUGGACAUGUUCCUGAGAUCUACUAUGAAGGCUUCACUUCUUUAGGAAGCAUCUGCUGCUUAGAAACAUUUUGAGUUACCUUAUAUGUGCCUCUCCUUCUACCAGGACUACAGCAAGACCUUUAAGAAAAGGAUGGACCUAAUUACUGAAGUGUGUUUGCUGUUGGAGACCUUGUGGAAGAACUUUUGUGGAAGAUCUCCAGAACAGGAAUGGUUGCGAAUGGACCAUUGGAUGCAGAUCCUCAGCAAGAGUAGAAAGCUUGGACCGCAAGUCUCGGAUUACAUCGCAACAGUCUUCCAGUUUGGUCUUCAGCUCCUGACUCUGGUUGUAGUACUCCUCCCAUUCGUGCUGCAACUGGCAGUUCUGGCUAUGGAGCUGAGCCACCAUGCCAUCAUAUUCUUCCUGGAACAGGCAAUGUUUGGCCUGCUCCUCCUGAAGGCUGAGCUUCAAGGUCUGGAGCCGCAGCUGGUCAUUCAUGGCUGCGUUGUGUUCCACCAGGGCGGCAGCUUUGAUCACUUUCCGCAGGAAAUGCCCGUUUCGGAGAGCGUGUUGCUGCCUUUUGAAGGGCUCGUAACAACAGCUGGUUAUGCAGCAGGUGCAGAUGAUUCUGGAGGAAGUGAAUCUCGUCAGAAGGAGGAAAACCACCAAAAUGAGUCCAAUCGGCGGAUCUACUUGGCAACGAUAACGUGUUCAGUUCUUUGCUAUGAACAUCAGCCCCAUGUUGAAGAAGCCUGUCUAAGACAUCCAAAGGGGAAGCAGAAAGAAAGCCAUUGUCCUCCAGUCCUCCCUUGCUUUUUUUCAACAGCUCUUCAGUCUUCCGGCUGACAAACAGGUAGGCAGUCUUAGGUAAUACCAUCUCAGACAGGUGGUGUGCAGGAAUUUUGCAAGGGCUGGGGGUCAAAAUGCCCGGAUCCGAUGAGGUCCACAUUUCUUGGAGUCCUACAGGAAUCUCCUCGGCAUCACGACAGGACCAGUCAAUGGUUGUGAAAGGCUUGCUUCGGAGUAUCCCACGAGCCUUUGAGCGCGUAUUGGUCCAGAAAAGACGUCAAGGCCUCCGUGGUCGAAAGCUGCCCUGCGAUGUUUGAAGCAACCGACUGAGACUUCCGAGAGCCGGAGAGAUUCUCGCUGGAUUGGUAGAACGGAGGAUCAAAUCCUCCCCGAAACUCUACAGGUUUGGCCUCUGUGGCAGUGAUCGCAGAGAUUUCAUUCAAGAUGGCAUCUUCUUCUCUCGGCUGUUGUUUGUUAAAUACUUAUGAUUGCAAAACUAGAAAAUUAAUAAAAUAUUUAUUUAAAAAAA